UUUUUGCCAAUACUUCUGGCAAUCGGACUUCCUGUAGGCUGUGCCUGCUGUGUUGUAGUUAUUCUCACAUGCUCACUCUGGCCUCUCUAGGGUAUGCCUGUGAAAAACAGCAACAUUCGGUUCUUCUCCCAUUCCUCAAUGACCAACACUUCACAUCAGUACAAACACCCAGUGAAGUUUAGAAGGAUUUAGCCCAAGGACUCUGAACACAACACUAAAAGCCUGCAAGGAAGAAGUUUAUGACAAUCUUCAUCAUGUUUAUUAACUGACAAGACUGCUCAGGACAUCUGCUCCCUCAGCAGACUGCAGGCUCAGCACAGAAUGUAGUACUUAAUGUCAUUUGCCUUCAUCAGGGCUUUCUGAUCUGGUUAUCUCCUAUACCCUUAGCUUUGGAUUGUGUUGUUGUUAUUGUUGCUCCACGUUUUAGUGGAACCCAAGGAGUCUUAACAAUAAGCUUAGAGGUAGCACUUGGCCACUUACCCAUUGGAAAUGAGUUUUCCAGACAUGGGGAUUUUGUCUCUGAUGGAAAUCCCUGUGAGCUUUUGGAACGGCAGGCGAGUAUAAAAGUUCUUCACGCUAUCAUUCAGCACAACUGCACAGAGGAAAAACAAAUACAGAUGAUUAGACUUUUG
Molecule: long non-coding RNA, 632 nt
Filed under: Mus pahari (shrew mouse)
Lineage: Eukaryota; Metazoa; Chordata; Mammalia; Rodentia; Muridae
Description: predicted gene 17140 (MGP_PahariEiJ_G0002752.1)
Source: RNAcentral